This 252-nucleotide ribosomal RNA is filed under the name uncultured bacterium. RNAcentral describes it as "partial 16S ribosomal RNA". It matches the Rfam family "Bacterial small subunit ribosomal RNA", at positions 524 to 776 of the family's 1533-position model. The record is from RNAcentral.
UACGGAGGAUGCGAGCGUUAUCCGGAUUUAUUGGGUUUAAAGGGUGCGCAGGCGGCACGGCAAGCCGGCGGUCAAAACGCGGGGCUCAACCCCGCCCAGCCGUCGGAACUGCCGGGCUAGAGUGGGCGAGAAGUGCGCGGAAUGCGUGGUGUAGCGGUGAAAUGCAUAGAUAUCACGCAGAACUCCGAUUGCGAAGGCAGCGCACCGGCGCCCUACUGACGCUCAGGCACGAAAGCGUGGGUAUCGAACAGG